This 936-nucleotide ribosomal RNA is filed under the name uncultured Actinomycetes bacterium. Its description in RNAcentral is "bacterial SSU rRNA". It matches the Rfam family "Bacterial small subunit ribosomal RNA", at positions 56 to 1010 of the family's 1533-position model. The record is from RNAcentral. Lineage: Bacteria; Bacillati; Actinomycetota; Actinomycetes.
UGCAAGUCGAACGAGAAACCCGGGCUUGCCCGGGUGGACAGUGGCGAACGGGUGAGUAACACGUGAGGAACCUGCCCCGAAGACCGGGACAACAUCGGGAAACCGGUGCUAAUACCGGAUACCUUCACCGGAUCGCAUGGUCUGGUGAAGAAAUGGAUUCCGCUUCGGGAUGGCCUCGCGGCCUAUCAGCUAGUUGGUGAGGUAACGGCUCACCAAGGCGACGACGGGUAGCUGGUCUGAGAGGAUGUCCAGCCACACUGGGACUGAGACACGGCCCAGACUCCUACGGGAGGCAGCAGUUAGGAAUCUUGCGCAAUGGACGAAAGUCUGACGCAGCGACGCCGCGUGCGGGAUGAAGGCCUUCGGGUUGUAAACCGCUUUCAGCAGGGACGAAAUUGACGGUACCUGCAGAAGAAGCCCCGGCCAACUACGUGCCAGCAGCCGCGGUAAUACGUAGGGGGCAAGCGUUGUCCGGAUUUAUUGGGCGUAAAGAGCUCGUAGGUGGUUCGGUAAGUCGGAUGUGAAAUCUCCAGGCUCAACCUGGAGGGGUCAUUCGAUACUGCCGUGACUAGAGGUCGGUAGGGGAGUGUGGAAUUCCUGGUGGAGCGGUGAAAUGCGCAGAUAUCAGGAGGAACACCCGUAGCGAAGGCGGCACUCUGGGCCGAUACUGACACUGAGGAGCGAAAGCGUGGGGAGCGAACAGGAUUAGAUACCCUGGUAGUCCACGCCGUAAACGUUGGGCACUAGGUGUGGGACUCUAUCGACGGGUUCCGUGCCGUAGCUAACGCAUUAAGUGCCCCGCCUGGGGAGUACGGCCGCAAGGCUAAACUCAAAGGAAUUGACGGGGGCCCGCACAAGCGGCGGAGCAUGUGGCUUAAUUCGAGCACCCGAAGAACCUAUCCUAGCUGACAUGCACGUAUUCACUCCUGAAAGGAA